Molecule: long non-coding RNA, 1431 nt
Organism: Cucurbita moschata (crookneck pumpkin)
Lineage: Eukaryota; Viridiplantae; Streptophyta; Magnoliopsida; Cucurbitales; Cucurbitaceae
Exons: 3
Source: RefSeq, a predicted model, not a curated record
UCGUCGGUUCCAUGGGAGCGCCACACUUGGAACAACGAACUUCAAAGCUCUUACCUGAAACCAAAGCAGGCUCAGCAAGUCCAAGUGGUUCGCCAUUGCUAUCCUGAGAUUAUGAUGAAGCAUUUUCGGCGCUCUUUUGUCAACUUUCGGACUAGAAUGAUGUUAAAGGAUUGAAAACCGUAAACAAAGUGAGACCAGUUAGAUCAAUCCAAGUUUGGCAAUAUCUGGGAUGUUUAAAAGAGAGGAAUAAGAGCAAUUUUGUUGACAAGAAAAUGUUUGGUGGAAGAAGCGUGAAAGUUAGGUCGCUUCUGAAGUUUCCAGCUAGAUUUCCGUAUGGAAAGUUUUUUAUCAUGUUUAUGCCUAAUUGCCAGAUUUUUGUAGCUUCCCUCUCUAGACAAGGUUCUUACUGCCUUCCAGGCUUCUUUCAUGAUUUCCUCUUUAUUGUUUAUUUUUUAUAUAUAUAAAAAAAUUGUUUUGCCCUUGCCCAAUCGGUAAUUUAUUUUCUUAUAAAAGUAAGUGGACACGAAGAUCAGCUUUUUAAACACCCAAAACCUAUGUUAGCAUAGACUACUGUCAUAUCUGCCUCUUGAAUAAAUUGAAGCUCAUAGAUCAGAGAGAAAGGAUUAGAAGAGAACCUGCGCGAAAAAAUACAGACCUUUUGGCAUCAUUUUCAAAAGCUUAGAACAAACUAGUAAAUUUACGUGAAUUGAAAAUAUUUCUUUAAAAAUCCAUUUUAUACCAAUGCGAAAUCGAAAAAAUAACCAACUCAAAACAAAAACUUUUGACUGAUGGGCAAUUGCCUCUCACCUAGUUAUAACCUUGGUGUUGACGCCUUUCCGUGGAAUCCAUUUUUUUCUUUCCGUAGGAAUAGCAUCUUAAAUCCAACAUCUUCCACCAGGCUCUUAAUUUUCUCAAUUCCAAGAAAAAAAUGCCGAGAUCUGGUGUUUCAGAAUAACUUGUGAUAAAAUUAAAGUGGGACCUACUCAUUAUAUGUUAGGUUGAUCUAGUUUCAUUACAUCAUUGUCUUCGUUCUGAGGAGAAUGAGAAAAUUAUCUCCGAAGUCGCUCAUUCAGCAAAAUAAUUCAGGAAAUAAUAAGAUCUCUCCUUACUUAAAAAUACAGAAAAAUUUGGGAUUUGAUGCCAUCUAUAGUUAAGCGAUUGGUUUGGCACCAAGGAAUUCCACUUUUGUGAAAGGAAAGAGCACCAACGUAGUGGUGAGGCAAAAAAUGCUGCCAAAUAAAGAGAAUAUGUGAACAUAGUGAGGGUAAGACAACCAAACUUGCAGUACUAAUUGGUAGAAAUGUCGAAAGCUUCUUUCUGAUAAACAGAUGGGAAAAACCCUUGCAAAAAGGGUGCCAUGGAGGUGAGGCCAACUAAUCAACAAAAUCAAAAUAAUAUGAAUGGAAUGAGCAAAGAUAGUAAAUUAGUGUU